Molecule: ribosomal RNA, 492 nt
Filed under: uncultured bacterium
Lineage: Bacteria
Description: partial 16S ribosomal RNA
Rfam family: Bacterial small subunit ribosomal RNA
Source: RNAcentral
AGUGAACGCUGGCGGUAGGCCUAACACAUGCAAGUCGAACGGCAGCACAGUAAGAGCUUGCUCUUACGGGUGGCGAGUGGCGGACGGGUGAGGAAUACAUCGGAAUCUACUUUUUCGUGGGGGAUAACGUAGGGAAACUUACGCUAAUACCGCAUACGACCUACGGGUGAAAGCAGGGGAUCUUCGGACCUUGCGCGAUUGAAUGAGCCGAUGUCGGAUUAGCUAGUUGGCGGGGUAAAGGCCCACCAAGGCGACGAUCCGUAGCUGGUCUGAGAGGAUGAUCAGCCACACUGGAACUGGGACACGGUCCAGACUCCUACGGGAGGCAGCAGUGGGGAAUAUUGGACAAUGGGCGCAAGCCUGAUCCAGCCAUACCGCGUGGGUGAAGAAGGCCUUCGGGUUGUAAAGCCCUUUUGUUGGGAAAGAAAAUCAGCAGGUUAAUACCCCGCUGUUCUGACGGUACCCAAAGAAUAAGCACCGGCUAACUUCGUG